RNAcentral lists this ribosomal RNA (253 nucleotides) under uncultured bacterium. Its description in RNAcentral is "partial 16S ribosomal RNA". It matches the Rfam family "Bacterial small subunit ribosomal RNA", at positions 524 to 776 of the family's 1533-position model. The record is from RNAcentral.
UACGGAGGGUGCAAGCGUUGUUCGGAAUUACUGGGCGUAAAGCGCGUGUAGGCGGUCGGGUAAGUCAGAUGUGAAAGCCCCCGGCUUAACUGGGGAACUGCAUUUGAAACUGCCUGGCUCGAGUUCGGGAGAGGAGAGUGGAAUUCCUGGUGUAGAGGUGAAAUUCGUAGAUAUCAGGAGGAACACCGGUGGCGAAGGCGGCUCUCUGGCCCGACACUGACGCUGAGACGCGAAAGCGUGGGGAGCAAACAGG